GCAGCCGCGGUAAUACGGAGGGGGUUAGCGUUGUUCGGAAUUACUGGGCGUAAAGCGCGCGUAGGCGGACAUUUAAGUCAGAGGUGAAAUCCCAGGGCUCAACCCUGGAACUGCCUUUGAUACUGGGUGUCUUGAGUUCGAGAGAGGUGAGUGGAAUUCCGAGUGUAGAGGUGAAAUUCGUAGAUAUUCGGAGGAACACCAGUGGCGAAGGCGGCUCACUGGCUCGAUACUGACGCUGAGGUGCGAAAGUGUGGGGAGCAAACAGGAUUAGAUACCCUGGUAGUCCACACCGUAAACGAUGAAUGCCAGUCGUCGGGCAGUAUACUGUUCGGUGACACACCUAACGGAUUAAGCAUUCCGCCUGGGGAGUACGGUCGCAAGAUUAAAACUCAAAGGAAUUGACGG
RNAcentral lists this ribosomal RNA (405 nucleotides) under uncultured bacterium. RNAcentral describes it as "bacterial SSU rRNA". It matches the Rfam family "Bacterial small subunit ribosomal RNA", at positions 511 to 916 of the family's 1533-position model. The record is from RNAcentral.